RNAcentral lists this ribosomal RNA (491 nucleotides) under uncultured bacterium. Its description in RNAcentral is "partial 16S ribosomal RNA". It matches the Rfam family "Bacterial small subunit ribosomal RNA", at positions 29 to 507 of the family's 1533-position model. The record is from RNAcentral.
AGUGAACGCUGGCGGUAGGCCUAACACAUGCAAGUCGAACGGCAGCACAGUAAGAGCUUGCUCUUACGGGUGGCGAGAGGCGGACGGGUGAGGAAUACAUCGGAAUCUACUUUUUCGGGGGGGAUAACGUAGGGAAACUUACGCCAUACCGCAUACGACCUACGGGUGGAAGGAGGGGGACAUUUUACCCUGCGGGGUUUGAAGUGGCGACGUAGGAUUGGCUUGGUGGGGGGGUGAAGGCCCACCAAGUCGACGAAUCGUAGCUGAUCUGGGGGGAUGGUCGGCCACACUAGAGCUGGGCCACGGUCCAGACUCCUGCGAGACGCAGCAGUGUGGUAUAUUGGGCAAUAGGCGCAAGCCUGGUCCAGCCGUACCGCGUGGGUGAAGGAGGCCUUCGGGUUGUAAAGCCCUUUUGUUGGGAAAGAACAGCAGCAGGUUGAUACCCCGCUGUUCUGACGGUACCCAAAGAAUAAGCACCGGCUAACUUCGUG